UGCAUACACAUGCAGUCGAACGCUUCUUUUUCCACACGGAGCUUGCUCCACCGGAAAAAGAGGAAUGGCUAACGGGUGAUUAACACGUGGGUAACCUGCCCAUCAUAAGGGGAUAACACUUGGAAACAGGUGCUAAUACCGUAUAACAAUCAAAACCGCGAGGUUUUGAUUUGAAAGGCGCUUUCGGGUGUCUCUGAUGGAUGGACCCGCGGUGCAUUAACUAGUUGGUGAGGUAACAGCUCACCAUGGCCACAAUGCAUAACCGACCUGAGAGGGUGAUCGACCACAUUGGGACUGAGACACGGCCCAAACUCCUACAGGAGGCAACAGUAGGGAAUCUUCUGAAAUGGACGAAAGUCUGACCGAGCAACGCCGCGUGAGUGAAGAAGGUUUUCGGAUCGUAAAACUCUGUUGUUAGAGAAGAACAAGGAUGAAAGUAACUGUUCAUCCCUUGACGGUAUCUAACCAGAAAGCCACGGCUAACUACGUGCCAGCAGCCGCGGUAAUACGUAGGUGGCAAGCGUUGUCCGGAUUUAUUGGGCGGAAAGCGAGCGCAGGCGGUUUCUUAAGUCUGAUGUGAAAGCCCCCGGCUCAACCGGGGAGGGUCAUUGGAAACUGGGAGACUUGAGUGCAUAAGAGGAGAGUGGAAUUCCGUGUGUAGCGGUGAAAUGCGUACAUAUAUGGAGGAACACCACUGGCCAAAGCGGCUCUCUGGUCUGUAACUGACGCUGAAGCUCACAAGCGUGGGGAGCAAACAGGAUUACAUACCCUGGUAGUCCACGCCGUAGACGAUGACUGCUAAGUGUUGGAGGGUUUCCGCCCUUCAUUGCUGCAGCUAACGCAUUAAGCACUCCGCCUGGGGAGUACGACCGCAAGGUUGAAACUCACAGGAAUUGACGGGGGCCCGCACAAGCGGUGGAGCAUGUGGUUUAAUUCGUAGCAACGCGAAGAACCUUACCAGGUCUUGACAUCCUUUGACCACUCUAUAGAUAGAGCUUCCCCUUCGGGCGGCAAGUGAUCGUCGGUGCAUGUUGUCGUAAGCUCGUGUAGUGAGCUGAUCGAGCUAAGUCCCUGCGACGAUGCGUCACCAGUUAUUGAUUAGCUGCAUCAUCAGUAGAGCCACCUCUAGCAAGACUGCAGGUUGACUAACGGUGAGGCAACGGAUGUCGACUGACGCUCAAUCCAGUCAUGGCCUCACGACCUUGGCUACGCAGCUACAUGGGGAUGUCAGCGGAUUCGCAAGUCACUCGCAGGCU
This 1256-nucleotide ribosomal RNA is filed under the name Enterococcus faecium. RNAcentral's name for it is "bacterial SSU rRNA". It matches the Rfam family "Bacterial small subunit ribosomal RNA", at positions 45 to 1264 of the family's 1533-position model. Lineage: Bacteria; Bacillati; Bacillota; Bacilli; Lactobacillales; Enterococcaceae. The record is from RNAcentral.